UUUAUAAUUCCUCUUUUUCUCUCUUAGAGAAGGUAAAGGUACUUAUUACAAUCUCUUCUGAUGCUUUUGGAAUAUCAGGACCUAUCGAUAUCUCUUUCUUUCCUUUGAUAUCUCUUUACGUCUAAGGGGCUAAAGUCACUUAGCCGAAAUAUUUGAGAGAAUCGAUAGCUGCCUUAAUUUGACAUGACUCGCGCUUGACGCAAGCCGGACAAAGAGGCAAAUCAAAUGAAGCGAACGCAAUUGAAGCGAACGUUGUCAGCACGAUUAUCCUAGGCGUCGUCGUUAGAGCUAUCGAGUUAUCAAAUGAAACGCUGCGCUCUCAGAGAUGCCUUAGUGAAGUUCCGGUCGUUGAAAGCGUGGCGCGUAUUAAAUGUCCGAGGGAACCGGGAAUUAACAUCGUUCCGCGUUGUUUCUGGCUGAAUAAGCGCGCGAAUUUUCUUGUUCGGCACUUUAGAAAAUUACUCAUAUUUGCGUCAUUUUGCAGAAGAAGAGAGGAAAGAAAGGAACAAAAAGUACGAAGAAAAUAUCACCUUAUUUCGCAAAAUUAAAGCAAUAAUCUGAGGACUAAUUUAAAGACUACUACCUUUCGGAGAAGCUUGUGAAGGAGGUAAUACGGGAUCCUCCGGAAUUUCGGUUUUACCAAUUCCUCGAACUCUCACAUCAUUCACCAGAAUCUUGCGCCCUGAUUAGAGAAUUUACCUUUCUAGAAAAGGAGUUAGAAAAUCUCCGUGUCUGGUGAUGGUGUCCCCUGAAUUCUGAUUUACAGAAGUGCACAUUAAAGCGCAAUCGGUGCCAUCGUAACGCCCAAAAAUUUGCGGAAAGUAUUCGGGUAGCAAGCGACCCAGAACGAGAUUCGCGUCCGUCACAGUCAGUGGACCAUCCUUCUUGUAACACGCGGGACCAGGAUGAGCCCCUGCGCUCUCAGGCCCAAC
Long non-coding RNA from Formica exsecta, 932 nucleotides. RefSeq lists it as uncharacterized. Lineage: Eukaryota; Metazoa; Arthropoda; Insecta; Hymenoptera; Formicidae. The record is from RefSeq and is a predicted model, not a curated record. The transcript is spliced from 4 exons.